This 439-nucleotide ribosomal RNA is filed under the name uncultured bacterium. Its description in RNAcentral is "bacterial SSU rRNA". It matches the Rfam family "Bacterial small subunit ribosomal RNA", at positions 954 to 1392 of the family's 1533-position model. The record is from RNAcentral.
GCAUAACGCGAAGAACCUUACCAGGCCUUGACAUGCAGAGAACUUUCCAGAGAUGGAUUGGUGCCUUCGGGAACUCUGACACAGGUGCUGCGUGGCUGUCGUCAGCUCGUGUCGUGAGAUGUUGGGUUAAGUCCCGUAACGAGCGCAACCCUUGUCCUUAGUUACCAGCACGUUAUGGUGGGCACUCUAAGGAGACUGCCGGUGACAAACCGGAGGAAGGUGGGGAUGACGUCAAGUCAUCAUGGCCCUUACGGCCUGGGCUACACACGUGCUACAAUGGUCGGUACAGAGGGUUGCCAAGCCGCGAGGUGGAGCUAAUCUCACAAAACCGAUCGUAGUCCGGAUCGCAGUCUGCAACUCGACUGCGUGAAGUCGGAAUCGCUAGUAAUCGCGAAUCAGAAUGUCGCGGUGAAUACGUUCCCGGGUCUUGUACACACCG